This 449-nucleotide ribosomal RNA is filed under the name uncultured bacterium. RNAcentral describes it as "partial 16S ribosomal RNA". It matches the Rfam family "Bacterial small subunit ribosomal RNA", at positions 354 to 796 of the family's 1533-position model. The record is from RNAcentral.
GUGGGGAAUAUUGGACAAUGGGCGAAAGCCUGAUCCAGCCAUGCCGCGUGUGUGAAGAAGGUCUUCGGAUUGUAAAGCACUUUAAGUUGGGAGGAAGGGCAGUAAGUUAAUACCUUGCUGUUUUGACGUUACCAACAGAAUAAGCACCGGCUAACUUCGUGCCAGCAGCCGCGGUAAUACGAAGGGUGCAAGCGUUAAUCGGAAUUACUGGGUGUAAAGCGCGCGUAGGUGGUUCAGCAAGUUGAAGGUGAAAUCCCCGGGCUCAACCUGGGAACUGCCUCCAAAACUACUGAGCUAGAGUACGGUAGAGGGUAGUGGAAUUUCCUGUGUAGCGGUGAAAUGCGUAGAUAUAGGAAGGAACACCAGUGGCGAAGGCGACUACCUGGACUGAUACUGACACUGAGGUGCGAAAGCGUGGGGAGCAAACAGGAUUAGAUACCGAGUAGUCC